UACGUAGGGGGCAAGCGUUGUCCGGAAUCAUUGGGCGUAAAGCGCGUGUAGGCGGCUCGAUAAGUCUGCUGUGAAAGUCCAGGGCUCAACCCUGGGAUGCCGGUGGAUACUGUCGAGCUCGAGUCCGGAAGAGGCGAGUGGAAUUCCUGGUGUAGCGGUGAAAUGCGCAGAUAUCGGGAGGAACACCAAUGGCGAAGGCAGCUCGCUGGGACGGUACUGACGCUGAGACGCGAAAGCGUGGGGAGCAAACAGG
This 253-nucleotide ribosomal RNA is filed under the name uncultured bacterium. Its description in RNAcentral is "partial 16S ribosomal RNA". It matches the Rfam family "Bacterial small subunit ribosomal RNA", at positions 524 to 776 of the family's 1533-position model. The record is from RNAcentral.